GACUGCGAGUCGAGCGUUUCUAGCUAUGUUGAGACGCGGCAUACGGCUCAGUAACACGUGGCUAACCUACCCUCAGGACGGGGACAAACCCGGGAAACUGGGGCUAAUAUCCGAUAGGCGAGGAAUCCUGGAAUGGUUCUUCACCCAAAGGACAUUGGAAACAUGCUUUCUCUGUCGCCUGGGGAUGGGGCCGCGACCGAUCAGGUUGUUGGUGAGGUAAUGGCUCACCAAGCCUUUAACCGGUACGGGCCAUGAGAGUGGUAGCCCGGAGAUGGGUACUGAGACAAGGACCCAGGCCCUACGGGGCGCAGCAGUCGCGAAAACUCCGCAAUGCACGAAAGUGUGACGGGGCUACCCCGAGUGCCGUCCGCUGAGGAUGGCUUUUCCUUGGUGUAACUAGCCGGGGGAAUAAGGAGAGGGCAAGACUGGUGUCAGCCGCCGCGGUAAUACCAGCUCUCCGAGUGGUAGGGAUGAUUAUUGGGCUUAAAGCGUCCGUAGCCGGCUUAGCAAGUUUCCUGUUAAAUUCAGCGACCUAAUCGUUGAGCCGCGGGAAAUACUACUAGGCUAGGAGGCGGGAGAGGUCGACGGUACUUCUGGGGUAGGGGUGAAAUCCUAUAAUCCCGGGAGGACCACCAGUGGCGAAGGCUGUCGACUAGAACGCGCUCGACGGUGAGGGACGAAAGCUGGGGGAGCGAACCGGAUUAGAUACCCGGGUAGUCCCAGCUGUAAACGAUGCGGGCUAGGUGUUGGGGUGGCUACGUGCCACUUCAGUGCCGCAGGGAAGCCAUUAAGCCCGCCGCCUGGGGAGUACGGCCGCAAGGCUGAAACUUAA
Molecule: ribosomal RNA, 832 nt
Filed under: uncultured crenarchaeote
Lineage: Archaea; Thermoproteati; Thermoproteota
Description: bacterial SSU rRNA
Rfam family: Archaeal small subunit ribosomal RNA
Source: RNAcentral